UCGCUAUUGCAUAAAGCGUUACCACAGCUUUAUUUUAGCUAGUUCGACAUCAUCUACUUCAUCAACUUACAUUCUUUUCACCUACAUUAUAUCAAAUAAACAUUCAGUCGUCAUAGCUCUAGACAAUCGCUAGUUAAAGCUAUAUUUGCGUUCUGUGAGUUAAAGUGCGUCCUUUCCGGAUUUAGAAUUUGUCCAUCGUCCAUUUUCAUCGUCAGUGAAAACAAAUUGCAGGCGAAUUUGGUAAAUCGAUAAUUUGCAUCGAACACUGCUUGAAGAAUGGCUGAACAGAAUUUCUUAUAAUUAAGGAACAUACUUCCUCAAUGGCUGGGAGUCUUUCAUAAUUGAAGUACAAAAUAGUUAUUUAAGUAUUGCAAAAGGCCUAAACCAAAGAAAAAUAUUUCGAAAGCAAGUGAAAAAAAUUCCGAUAAGACGGUCGGGAGAUAUUGAAAGUAAAUCCCGUUGGCCCCAUUUUAAAAGUUUGCUUGAAAGUUGAAAGAAAAUUGAAAGUUACGGGUCGAUUCUCAGGAUGAAUUUUGAUGAUGAAAACAAUGCAGGAUACCGUAACGUUGAGCCUGAAUCCCGAACAGUAGAAAAAUUGGAGUUCAUGACAACAAAGAGAGCAAAUACAGAGGAAACCAAAAAUGUUUAUCUGGCAUUUUUAAAUGAUUAACUCUAAAAAAUUAAAUUUUUCAAUUUAGGAAUAGGGAUCGAGAUGUAAUUUAGAUGCUUACGGCUAAUAAAAACGUAAAAGAACAUCAA
Molecule: long non-coding RNA, 759 nt
Organism: Anthonomus grandis grandis
Lineage: Eukaryota; Metazoa; Arthropoda; Insecta; Coleoptera; Curculionidae
Exons: 3
Source: RefSeq, a predicted model, not a curated record